Molecule: ribosomal RNA, 495 nt
Filed under: uncultured bacterium
Lineage: Bacteria
Description: partial 16S ribosomal RNA
Rfam family: Bacterial small subunit ribosomal RNA
Source: RNAcentral
GACGAACGCUGGCGGCGUGCCUAAUACAUGCAAGUAGAACGCUGAAGGAGGAGCUUGCUUCUCUGGAUGAGUUGCGAACGGGUGAGUAACGCGUAGGUAACCUGCCUGGUAGCGGGGGAUAACUAUUGGAAACGAUAGCUAAUACCGCAUAAGAGUAGAUGUUGCAUGACAUUUGCUUAAAAGGUGCAAUUGCAUCACUACCAGAUGGACCUGCGUUGUAUUAGCUAGUUGGUGGGGUAACGGCUCACCAAGGCGACGAUACAUAGCCGACCUGAGAGGGUGGUCGGCCACACUGGGACUGAGACACGGCCCAGACUCCUACGGGAGGCAGCAGUAGGGAUUCUUCGGCAAUGGACGGAAGUCUGACCGAGCAACGCCGCGUGAGUGAAGAAGGUUUUCGGAUCGUAAAGCUCUGUUGUAAGAGAAGAACGAGUGUGAGAGUGGAAAGUUCACACUGUGACGGUAUCUUACCAGAAAGGGACGGCUAACUACGUG